This 496-nucleotide ribosomal RNA is filed under the name uncultured bacterium. RNAcentral's name for it is "partial 16S ribosomal RNA". It matches the Rfam family "Bacterial small subunit ribosomal RNA", at positions 29 to 507 of the family's 1533-position model. The record is from RNAcentral.
AUGAACGCUGGCGGCGUGCCUCAUACAUGCAAGUCGAGCGAACAGACGAGGAGCUUGCUCCUCUGACGUUAGCGGCGGACGGGUGAGUAACACGUGGAUAACCUACCUAUAAGACUGGGAUAACUUCGGGAAACCGGAGCUAAUACCGGAUAAUAUAUUGAACCGCAUGGUUCAAUAGUGAAAGACGGUUUUGCUGUCACUUAUAGAUGGAUCCGCGCCGCAUUAGCUAGUUGGUAAGGUAACGGCUUACCAAGGCAACGAUGCGUAGCCGACCUGAGAGGGUGAUCGACCACACUGGAACUGAGACACGGUCCAGACUCCUACGGGAGGCAGCAGUAGGGAAUCUUCCGCAAUGGGCGAAAGCCUGACGGAGCAACGCCGCGUGAGUGAUGAAGGUCUUCGGAUCGUAAAACUCUGUUAUUAGGGAAGAACAAAUGUGUAAGUAACUAUGCACGUCUUGACGGUACCUAAUCAGAAAGCCACGGCUAACUACGUG